GGCCGCAUGGCCUAAUGGUUAAGGCGCUAGAUUUCGGCUCCGAUUCGUCAUCUCUAGAGAUUCCAGGUUCGACUCCUGGUGUGGUCG
Non-coding RNA from Emericellopsis atlantica, 87 nucleotides. The record is from the annotation of a RefSeq genome assembly. NCBI's taxonomy places the organism in Eukaryota, Fungi, Ascomycota, Sordariomycetes, Hypocreales, Bionectriaceae.